RNAcentral lists this long non-coding RNA (1521 nucleotides) under Numida meleagris (helmeted guineafowl). RNAcentral's name for it is "lncRNA (ENSNMEG00000004080.1)". Lineage: Eukaryota; Metazoa; Chordata; Aves; Galliformes; Numididae. The record is from RNAcentral.
AAUUCAGAAACAGAGAGAGAAGUCGAGGAGAUGCGCUCAGCCUGGGAGGAAUAAGAGUAGGAGAGCUCAUUCUGCUCGACACGAAAUCCCACUGAGAGGGGUUUCACGGCCCUGACGAGUUUGGUUGCGCUUUGUGGAUAAGCUGGAGGACAAGCUCUGCAUUCUCAUCAGCAUUUCUGGGAAAACAUCUUGAUGUCCCGCUGAGAGAAAGGUGAGAGUCGGUGGGCACCGGGAGACUGAUUUUUAGCGACCCGACGCACCAAAGGCCGUGGGAGUUCCUCACUUCCCUCGGCGUCUCGGUUCGAGCGGGCGCUGACGCAAUGGCUCAGGGAAAGGCCACUACAAAGAAAGAACGGUGCUGACUUAAAAAUAAAAACCAGUGCUGCUCGUUACAGUGAGAAAACACCAAGGGACUGAGAAGAUGUCGUUCACAAGAAGAACUCGGUUUUCCAGAGGUGCGCUGUUUUCAUCAGAACAGGGAGUAAUGAGGUUUUAAACUUCAGGACUUUCUCGUACUCACGUCACUCACACGAGAGCGAAAACUCGGUGCGUCCCUCCCGACUACGCGGCUACGGCUUAGAUAUAACAGCUUAGCAGUUGUUUAUCUCACCGUCUUCCCCAUUUAUACAUUUGACGCUUGUUAGCUACUUUUAUUUUGGUCCCGAUGGAACUCCCUACAAGUUUGAUGCCGAGUUCAUCUUAUGAGAUCCAGGUAAGGGUGCAGUUAGCUUUAUUUGCUUGAGACUAUACGUGCAAUUCUUACAAUCGGAGAACUGAAUUCAAACAGGGUGAAUCGAUCGCCGGGUCUCUGCUAAAAGAUACCAAAAGUACACAGCUUUUCUUACUUGCAGGCCUUCACUGUUGCCUAAGUCUUCAAAAUAGAAACUAACAGAAGUAGUUUUGAAUUACGUACUUUCUGGAUGGAGGUUUCAUGCUGCGUUUUCAAACAUGUACCUUCUUAUUUUUUAUUCCUUUCUUUCUUAAUGUCUGUUUCCGUGCAGCGAGCAACCGUAAGCUCGAGGGAAGAAAAUGCUGAUUGUUUUCCUGUUCACUUUCUGCUUUGGAUCCCGCACCGGGUUAGGUCUGAGUGUUUGAUGCGGAUGUAUCUCGUGUACGUUCACUGCGGGCAACCAGCUAGAACGGUACACCACAAGAAUUAACAGAGAAGCAGCGGAUCGGUGGACAGAGUUGCGGCAGAUAAGACGGCUGGCUAGAGCUAAUCAGCAUUUCCAACUCGAACCAGGUCAGGAGUACGCAGCGAGGGAUGCUGCGGCCUUUCAUCAGAAAAAGACCACCAGGCGCCCACCGAGGAAACGCCACGCGCGCGUAACAGGACUGGGUCGCAGAGUGGGGAACUCACUGUAAUAACCCAACCUUUUCUUGGAAAUCUAAUGCAUAUGUAAGCUGCUUGUUCUUUAAAUGUUUGCCUUUCUUGUCAUCCGGUGCGCAAGUUAGGAGGAGCGAUCCCCCUCGCACCCAGCGCUGAAUAAACACACCUGCUUUAUAACCUUACGUGGGUUA